GGUUCAGUGGUAAAGUGGUUAAUACGUCUCCCUGUCACGGAGAAGAACGCGGGUUCGAUCCCCGUCUGAACCGCCA
This 76-nucleotide transfer RNA is filed under the name Mycoplasmopsis synoviae. RNAcentral describes it as "Mycoplasma synoviae tRNA-Asp". It matches the Rfam family "tRNA". Rfam says of the family: Transfer RNA (tRNA) molecules are approximately 80 nucleotides in length. RNAcentral also lists the same sequence under 1 other name. Lineage: Bacteria; Bacillati; Mycoplasmatota; Mycoplasmoidales; Metamycoplasmataceae. The record is from RNAcentral.